RNAcentral lists this ribosomal RNA (253 nucleotides) under uncultured bacterium. RNAcentral's name for it is "partial 16S ribosomal RNA". It matches the Rfam family "Bacterial small subunit ribosomal RNA", at positions 524 to 776 of the family's 1533-position model. The record is from RNAcentral.
UACAGAGGUCUCAAGCGUUGUUCGGAUUCAUUGGGCGUAAAGGGUGCGUAGGUGGUGCUGUAAGUCAGGUGUGAAAUCCCGGGGCUCAACCCCGGAACUGCACUUGAUACUGUAGUGCUUGAGGACUGGAGAGGAGAUCGGAAUUCAUGGUGUAGCAGUGAAAUGCGUAGAUAUCAUGAGGAAGACCAGUGGCGAAGGCGGAUCUCUGGACAGUUCCUGACACUGAGGCACGAAGGCCAGGGGAGCAAACGGG